Molecule: ribosomal RNA, 254 nt
Filed under: uncultured bacterium
Lineage: Bacteria
Description: partial 16S ribosomal RNA
Rfam family: Bacterial small subunit ribosomal RNA
Source: RNAcentral
UACGUAGGGGGCGAGCGUUGUCCGGAUUUAUUGGGCGUAAAGAGCUCGUAGGCGGUUCGAUAAGUCGGAUGUGAAAUCUCCACGCUCAACGUGGAGGGGCCAUUCGAUACUGUCGUGACUCGAGUCCGGUAGGGGAGUGUGGAAUUCCCGGUGUAGCGGUGAAAUGCGCAGAGAUCGGGAGGAACACCCGUAGCGAAGGCGGCUCGCUGGGCCGUUCCUGACGCUGAGACGCGAAAGCUAGGGGAGCGAACAGG